CAGGGAUUGCCUCAGUAACGGCGAGUGAAGCGGCAAAAGCUCAAAUUUGAAAUCUGGCCCCUUCGGAGUCCGAGUUGUAAUUUGUAGAGGAUGUUUCGGGCGCGGUCCCGGUCUAAGUCCCUUGGAACAGGGCGUCAUAGAGGGUGAGAAUCCCGUAUGCGACCGGCGGCCAACCCCAUGUGAAACCCCUUCGACGAGUCGAGUUGUUUGGGAAUGCAGCUCAAAAUGGGUGGUAAAUUUCAUCUAAAGCUAAAUACCGGCCAGAGACCGAUAGCGCACAAGUAGAGUGAUCGAAAGAUGAAAAGCACUUUGGAAAGAGAGUCAAACAGUACGUGAAAUUGUUGAAAGGGAAGCGCUUGCGACUAGACCUGUCCGCGGGCGAUCAACCUCUGUUCUCAGAGGUGCACUCGUCCGCGAUCAGGCCAGCAUCGGUUCGGGCGGCCGGAUAAAGGCCUUGGGAAUGUAGCUCCCCUCGGGGAGUGUUAUAGCCCUCGGUGCAAUGCGGCCAGCCCGGACCGAGGACCGCGCUUCGGCUAGGAUGCUGGCGUAAUGGUNNNNNNNNNCCCGUCUUGAAACACGGACCAAGGAGNNNNNNAUCUAUGCGAGUGUUUGGGUGUCAAGCCCAUGCGCGUAAUGAAAGUGAACGGAGGUGAGAACCCUGAAGGGCGCAUCAUCGACCGAUCCAGAUGUCUUCGGAUGGAUUUGAGUACGAGCAUAGCUGUUGGGACCCGAAAGAUGGUGAACUAUGCCUGAAUAGGGUGAAGCCAGAGGAAACUCUGGUGGAGGCUCGCAGCGGUUCUGACGUGCAAAUCGAUCGUCAAAUUUGGGUAUAGGGGCGAAAGACUAAUCGAACCAUCUAGUAGCU
RNAcentral lists this ribosomal RNA (865 nucleotides) under Lecanora intricata. Its description in RNAcentral is "LSU rRNA". It matches the Rfam family "Eukaryotic large subunit ribosomal RNA", at positions 69 to 952 of the family's 3401-position model. Lineage: Eukaryota; Fungi; Ascomycota; Lecanoromycetes; Lecanorales; Lecanoraceae. The record is from RNAcentral.